Molecule: ribosomal RNA, 276 nt
Filed under: Gammaproteobacteria bacterium
Lineage: Bacteria; Pseudomonadati; Pseudomonadota; Gammaproteobacteria
Description: partial 16S ribosomal RNA
Rfam family: Archaeal small subunit ribosomal RNA
Source: RNAcentral
UAAAUCCGGUUGAUCCUGCCGGACCCUACUGCUAUCGGGGGAGGACUAAAACAUGCAAGUCGUGCGUCUCCAAGCUAUGGUGGAGACGCGGCAUACGGCUCAGUAACACGUGGCUAACCCACCCUUGAGACGGAGAAAACCCCGGGAAACUGGGGUUAAUCCCCGAUAAGAGAAGAUACCUGGAAUGGGUCUCCUCUCAAAGGGCGCCUAGACCAUGCUUCUAGGCGCUGCUCAAGGACGGGGCCGCGGCCGAUCAGGUUGUUGGUGAGGCAACGG